Molecule: unclassified non-coding RNA, 95 nt
Organism: Gorilla gorilla gorilla (western lowland gorilla)
Lineage: Eukaryota; Metazoa; Chordata; Mammalia; Primates; Hominidae
Rfam family: Y RNA
About the family: Y RNAs are components of the Ro ribonucleoprotein particle (Ro RNP), in association with Ro60 and La proteins.
Source: Ensembl
GGGUGGUCCAAUGGCAGUGGGUUAUCAGAACUUAUUAACAUUAGUAUCACUAAAAUUGAUAUGCAACCCCCACUGCUAAAAUUGACAGGCUUAAU